AUGCUCCCGCGGGAACGCUCCGGCCUGGCCGCGGGAACGCUCCGGCUCAGCCACGGGAACUGUCCGGCCUGGCUGCGGGAACGCUCCGGCUCGCCCGCGGGAACCAUCUGGCCGGGCUGCGGGAACCAUCUGGCCGGGCCGCGGGAACUGUCCGGCUCGGCCGCGGGAACGCUCCGGCCCGGCUGCGGGAACCGUCUGGCCGGGCCGCGGGAACGCUGUAGCCUGGCUGCGGGAACGCUCCGGCCCGACCGCGGGAACCGUCUGGCCGGGCUGCGGGAACGCUCCGGCCCGGCUGCGGGAACCGUCCGGGCCGCUGGGGCGACGCUCACGGGCUCGGGGAGCGACUGCGCGGGGGGGGGGGAACGGGGAUGCGGCGAGCUCGCAGGUGAGCGCGGCUUGGGGCAAAUUCAUGGGCUUUCGGGCAACGGGCCCGGCAGACGCGCGUUAUCCCGGUUUCAGCUUUGUUUGCACGCGUGUGUGCGCGCUCCCUCUCUGCUCCCCCCCCCCAAAAAAAAACGCGGCGGCUCCCGGCCGAGCGCCUGCUCCGAGGAUCGCCGAGCUGUGCGGGAUAAUAGUUGGGAAGAGCCGGUUUCCUUGGCGCUCCCUCCGCGCCGGGGGCGAAAGCGGGGCGAGGGGGCUGCUGCCGGCGGGGGGGUGGGGGGGGGACCAGGUUCGGGCCGUGGGAACCGCAGGGCUCCGGGCGCCCCGAGCGCGUCGCCGUUGCAAAGGGGUCUCGGCGUCGCGCUGCCGUCGCGGUCCCGGCGGCUCAGCCCCGGGGGCUUGUGCUGUUCCGGGUCUUUUGGGAGAAAAAAGGGGAAAAAAAGGAAAAAAGGGGGGGCUCGCCACCCGCCUCGGAGCGUUCCCGGGGUUUUGAGGUCUCCUGCCCAUGCGCCUUCCCGGGGAGGACGGAUAAUUCCUGCGCUCGGUGACCACGUCAGUGCAGGAGCUGGACGUGCAGAAAGCCGGGAAUUGCCCAGGCUGGCAGAAAUACGAGGGAUAUAUGGAAUAUAG
This 1011-nucleotide long non-coding RNA is filed under the name Apteryx haastii (Great spotted kiwi). RNAcentral's name for it is "lncRNA (ENSAHAG00000017673.1)". The record is from RNAcentral. Lineage: Eukaryota; Metazoa; Chordata; Aves; Apterygiformes; Apterygidae.